RNAcentral lists this ribosomal RNA (850 nucleotides) under uncultured crenarchaeote. RNAcentral describes it as "bacterial SSU rRNA". It matches the Rfam family "Archaeal small subunit ribosomal RNA", at positions 42 to 902 of the family's 1478-position model. Lineage: Archaea; Thermoproteati; Thermoproteota. The record is from RNAcentral.
GAGAUAGCCAUGCGAGUUAACGUAGCAAUACGUGGCGCACGGCUCAGUAACACGUAGUCAACAUGCCCAGAGGACGUGGAUAACCUCGGGAAACUGAGUCUAAACCGCGAUAAGUGAGGAUUUCUGGAAUGGUUCCUGACUAAAAUCUAUAUGGCCUCUGGAUUGGACUGCGGCCGAUCAGGCUGUUGGUGAGGUAAUGGCCCACCAAACCUGUAACCGGUACGGGCUCUGAGAGGAGGAGCCCGGAGAUGGGCACUGAGACAAGGGCCCAGGCCCUAUGGGGCGCAGCAGGCGCGAAACCUCUGCAAUAGGCGAAAGCCUGACGGGGUUACUCUGAGUGACUUUCGCUAAGAAAGUCUUUUGGCACCUCUAAAAAGGGUGCAGAAUAAGGGGUGGGCAAGUCUGGUGUCAGCCGCCGCGGUAAUACCAGCACCCCGAGUGGUCGGGACGAUUAUUGGGCCUAAAGCAUCCGUAGCCGGUUCUGCAAGUCCCCCGUUAAAUCCAGCUGCUCAACAGAUGGGCCGCGGAGGAUACUACAGAGCUAGGAGGCAGGAGAGGCAAGCGGUACUCAGUGGGUAGGGGUAAAAUCCGUUGAUCCAUUGAAGACCACCAGUGGCGAAGGCGGCUUGCCAGAAUGCGCUCGACGGUGAGGGAUGAAAGCUGGGGGAGCAAACCGGAUUAGAUACCCGGGUAGUCCCAGCCGUAAACGAUGCAGACUCGGUGAUGGGUUGGCUUCGCGCUAACCCAGUGCCGCAGGGAAGCCGUUAAGUCUGCCGCCUGGGUAGUACGGUCGCAAGACUGAAACUUAAAGGAAUUGGCGGGGGAGCACCACAGGGUGAAGCCUGCGUUC